UAACAAAAACAUGGUUUAUUGAAUUAUAAAUUUAAAAUUGGUUCUGCUCACUGAAUAAUAAAUUUAAAGAGCUGCAGUAUCCUGACUGUGCAAAGGUAGCAAAAUCAUUUGUUUUUUAAUUGUGAACUUGAAUGAAAGAGCUGAUGAGAUAUAAACUGUCUCAUAAUAAAUAAUAGAAAUUGAAAUUUAAGUUAAAAUUCUUAACUGUAAUUAUUAGACGAGAAGACCCUAUAGAAUUUUAUAAAUUUUAUUUAUUGUUUCAUCAAGGUUUAUAGGAAAUUAUAAGAAUAAUUUAUUUGGUUGGGAGGAUUAUUAAAUUUAUUAAACUUUAAGGUUAAAAUUGACAAUGAUUUUUGAAAAAUUGAUUAAUAAAUAAUUAUAAGAUUAAAUUACCUUAGGGAUAACAGCGUAAUAUUUUUGGAGAGAUCAUAUUAAUAAAAAUGUUUGCGACCUCGAUGUUGAAUUAAGAUAAAAAUUAGAUGUAGAAGUUUAAUAUUUGGGUCUGUUCGACUUUUAAAAUCUUACGUGAUCUGAGUUC
Molecule: ribosomal RNA, 538 nt
Filed under: Neozeleboria rufum
Lineage: Eukaryota; Metazoa; Arthropoda; Insecta; Hymenoptera; Thynnidae
Description: partial 16S ribosomal RNA
Rfam family: Bacterial large subunit ribosomal RNA (bases 400-538)
Source: RNAcentral